RNAcentral lists this ribosomal RNA (393 nucleotides) under uncultured bacterium. RNAcentral's name for it is "partial 16S ribosomal RNA". It matches the Rfam family "Bacterial small subunit ribosomal RNA", at positions 523 to 918 of the family's 1533-position model. The record is from RNAcentral.
AUACGGAGGAUGCAAGCGUUAUCCGGAUUUAUUGGGUUUAAAGGGUGCGUAGGCGGGACUGUAAGUCAGGGGUGAAAUACUGCAGCUUAACUGUAGCAUUGCCUUUGAAACUGCCGUUCUUGAGUACAGUUGAGGUAGGCGGAAUGUGGUGUGUAGCGGUGAAAUGCAUAGAUAUACCACAGAACGCCGAUUGCGAAGGCAGCUUACUAAGCUGUUACUGACGCUGAGGCACGAAAGCGUGGGGAUCAAACAGGAUUAGAUACCCUGGUAGUCCACGCUGUAAACGAUGAUUACUGGUUGUUAGCGAUAUAAUGUCGGAGGCAAAGCGAAAGCGAUAAGUAUUCCACCUGGGGAGUACGCCGGCAACGGUGAAACUCAAAGGAAUUGACGGGG